AGGAAGAACCGCUAAUUACGUUCGCAGCAGCCGCGGUCAUACAGAGGGGGCAAGCGGUAGUCUUGAAUACUGGGCGUAAAGCGCACGUUGUAAGUGGUGUAUGUCAGGGGUGAAAACUCACGGGUGAUCAGUGGCAGGUCAUUUUUAAAACACACUGUGAAUCCUCGAGAGGGAGGGGGAAUACCAUCUGUAGGAGUGAAGUCCGUAGAUAUCAUGACGAACAUCACUGGCGAAGAUGGCCACCUGGAGCCAUAUUGACGAUGAGCAGCGAAAGCGUGGGGAGCAAACAGGAUUAGAUAACCUGGUAGUACUCCCGUAAUCGACGGACCUAGAUGUAGGUGAGUAUUCUUCGGUGUGGUACCAAAGCGUUAAGCAUGAAUCCUGGGGAGUACGGUCGCAAGGACGAGGCUCAAAGAAAUUGAAGGGGGCGGGCACAAGCGCGGGAGUACAGGUUGAGUUACAUGUAACGUGAAGAACCUGACCUAGAUUUGCCUUACACGGACCCCUACCUAAAAGGAGGGGGUCGUUCCGGGAGCUCGAGACGACAGGGCAUGCAUGUCUGCAUCAGGUCGUCUAGAAAACGGUGGGGUCCCGCCGAAGUGAGCGAAAGCGCUCUCCCUUCCAGCAACUUUCUGACAGGGAAAGCAAAGGAGUCUGCCGUUAAUAACGAGGUGAAAGGGGGGGAAGUCAAGAUGACAUGGCCUCAGCACGGCCAGGACAUCCGGUACUACACAAGUGGCACAAAGGGGAGCCAAAGGGCGAGUUCCCCCAAUGCCAAAAAACUCGUCCCACUCCGGAUCACAUUGUGCAAGUUGACUGCACCAAGUUGGAAGAAGUAGUAAUUCGUGAUCAUCAUGCUUCGGCGAAGGCGUUCCCAGUCCGUUUACACCCCGCCUGCCCCCCCACCAAAGUCGCUUGUGACCGAAGCCGGUGGGACAUUCAGCAAUGGAGGCAGCCGUCUACGGUAGGACUGAUGAUGGGGGAAGUCGAACAA
Molecule: ribosomal RNA, 994 nt
Filed under: Desulfovibrio sp.
Lineage: Bacteria; Pseudomonadati; Thermodesulfobacteriota; Desulfovibrionia; Desulfovibrionales; Desulfovibrionaceae
Description: bacterial SSU rRNA
Rfam family: Bacterial small subunit ribosomal RNA
Source: RNAcentral